GGGAGGCAGAGUCCUUCUGGAGUUUGACCCUUGGAUUCCAUCCAGAGCAGCCUCCAAAAUGACACCUUUGAAGUUGUGUAUCGAGCUGGGGGAUGUAAAGGGAGGAGAAGAAAGAAGAUGAAGAGAUACCAGCCAGCCUUAAGGAGUGGACAUCCUGCCUGGUGAAACUGAACAAGACACCGACCGCAUAUGGAGUUUCGCUCUGUCGCCCAGGCUGGAGUGCAGUGGUGCCAUCUCGGCUCACCGCAACCUCCACCUCCAGGUUCAAGUGAUUCUCCUGCCUCAGCCUCUCAAGUAGCUGGGAUUACAGGUG
RNAcentral lists this long non-coding RNA (313 nucleotides) under Pan troglodytes (chimpanzee). Its description in RNAcentral is "long non-coding RNA NONPTRT000196". The record is from RNAcentral. Lineage: Eukaryota; Metazoa; Chordata; Mammalia; Primates; Hominidae.